This 325-nucleotide ribosomal RNA is filed under the name uncultured Bacillota bacterium. RNAcentral's name for it is "bacterial SSU rRNA". It matches the Rfam family "Bacterial small subunit ribosomal RNA", at positions 28 to 351 of the family's 1533-position model. Lineage: Bacteria; Bacillati; Bacillota. The record is from RNAcentral.
GACGAACGCUGGCGGCGUGCCUAACACAUGCAAGUCGAGCGAGUGGAGUUCUUCGGAACAAAGCUAGCGGCGGACGGGUGAGUAACACGUGGGCAACCUGCCUCAUAGAGGGGAAUAGCCUUCCGAAAGGAAGAUUAAUACCGCAUAAGAUUGUAGCUUCGCAUGAAGUAGCAAUUAAAGGAGCAAUCCGCUAUGAGAUGGGGCCCGCGGCGCAUUAGCUAGUUGGUGAGGUAACGGCUCACCAAGGCGACGAUGCGUAGCCGACCUGAGAGGGUGAUCGGCCACAUUGGGACUGAGACACGGCCCAGACUCCUACGGGUGGCUG